CCUACGGGUGGCAGCAGUGGGGCAUAUUGCACAAUGGGGGAAACCCUGAUGCAGCGACGCCGCGUGCGUGACGACGUAAUUCGUUACGUAAAGCUCUAUCCGCAGGGCAGAAACACUGACCUUCCGGUCAGCCGCCGGUACCUGAGUAAGAAGCCCCUGCUAACUACGUGCCAGCAGCCGCGGUAAUACGUAGGGGGCAAGCGUUAGCCGGAUUUACUGGGUGUAAAGGGAGCGUAUACGGUGCGCCAAGUCUGGAGUGAAAGGCCGCAGCUUAACUGCGGAACUGUUUUGGAAACUGGCGAACUAGAGUGCGGGAGGGGUAAGCGGAAUGCCUAGUGUAGCGGUGAAAGGCGUAGAUAUUAGGAGGAACACCGGUGGCGAAGGCGGCUUACUGGACCGUAACUGACGUUGAGGCUCGAAAGCGUGGGGAGCAAACAGGAUUAGAUACCCGAGUAGUC
This 458-nucleotide ribosomal RNA is filed under the name uncultured bacterium. Its description in RNAcentral is "partial 16S ribosomal RNA". It matches the Rfam family "Bacterial small subunit ribosomal RNA", at positions 338 to 795 of the family's 1533-position model. The record is from RNAcentral.